UUUGAAAUCUGGUGCCCUCGGCGCCCGAGUUGUAAUUUGUAGAGGGUGGCCCGGGUCCGUCCCCGUCUAAGUCCCCUGGAACGGGGCGUCGUAGAGGGUGAGAAUCCCGUAUGCGACGGGGCGACGUACCCGUGUGGGCCCCCUUCGACGAGUCGAGUUGUUUGGGAAUGCAGCUCUAAAUGGGAGGUAAAUUCCUUCUAAAGCUAAAUACCGGCCAGAGACCGAUAGCGCACAAGUAGAGUGAUCGAAAGAUGAAAAGCACUUUGGAAAGAGAGUUAAAAAGCACGUGAAAUUGUUGAAAGGGAAGCGCUCACGACCAGACUCGGGUGCAGGUGCUCAACCACUCCGGUGCAUCGCCCGCACCCGGGCCAGCAUCGGUUCGGGCGGUCGGAUAAAGGCCCCGGGAACGUAGCUCCUCUCGGGGAGUGUUAUAGCCCGGGGUGCAAUGCGGCCCGCCCGGACCGAGGACCGCGUUCGCUAGGAUGCUGGCGUAAUGGUCGUUAGCGGCCCGUCUUGAAACACGGACCAAGGAGUCUACCAUCUGUGCGAGUCUUAGGGUGUCAAACCCUUGGGCGCAAUGAAAGUGAACGGAGGUGGGAACUUUUGUGCACCAUCGACCGAUCCAGAAGUCCUCGGACGGAUUUGAGUAAGAGCACCGCUGGUGGGACCCGAAAGAUGGUGAACUAUGCGCGGAUAGGGUGAAGCCAGAGGAAACUCUGGUGGAGGCUCGCAGCGGUUCUGACGUGCAAAUCGUGAGUUUUAAACGUGUACCCGUGGGUUUGAGAUCCGGCAGCUAACAAACAUUCUAGGAUCGUCAAAUCUACGCAUAGGGGCGAAAGACUAAUCGAACCAUGAACGAUACUACUAGGUGGUUGAGAGCGGGUACUGCUAUCGGUGCCCGCCUAGUCCCCGAGCUGGGGGCAAUAUUGCCAAAUUGCGGGGACUCCUGUCAAGCGAUCCGGGUGACCGCCCUCACGCCGAGAGGUGGCGAGCAGGCACCGGGCCCAAGGGCUCGGGUACGGUCAGAGCACUCGCGCUUAGG
RNAcentral lists this ribosomal RNA (1042 nucleotides) under Asterinaceae sp. AMG-2017. RNAcentral describes it as "partial large subunit ribosomal RNA". It matches the Rfam family "Eukaryotic large subunit ribosomal RNA", at positions 114 to 1397 of the family's 3401-position model. The record is from RNAcentral. Lineage: Eukaryota; Fungi; Ascomycota; Dothideomycetes; Asterinales; Asterinaceae.